UACAGAGGGUGCGAGCGUUAAUCGGAAUUACUGGGCGUAAAGCGCGCGUAGGCGGCUUUGCAAGCCGGAUGUGAAAUCCCCGGGCUUAACCUGGGAACUGCAUUCGGGACUGCAUUGCUAGAGUAUGGGAGAGGGAAGUGGAAUUUCAGGUGUAGCGGUGAAAUGCGUAGAUAUCUGAAGGAACACCGGUGGCGAAGGCGGCAUCCUGGACCGGCAUUGACGCUGAGGCGCGAAAGCCAGGGGAGCAAACGGG
RNAcentral lists this ribosomal RNA (253 nucleotides) under uncultured bacterium. Its description in RNAcentral is "partial 16S ribosomal RNA". It matches the Rfam family "Bacterial small subunit ribosomal RNA", at positions 524 to 776 of the family's 1533-position model. The record is from RNAcentral.